This is a non-coding RNA of Synchiropus splendidus (mandarinfish), 558 nucleotides long. Lineage: Eukaryota; Metazoa; Chordata; Actinopteri; Syngnathiformes; Callionymidae. The record is from the annotation of a RefSeq genome assembly.
AUCACCUUCACCAUGUUCUCUGUUGCUCUGCUGCUGCUGUUUACAGCUGGAUCCUGGGUCCAGUGUGAGCAGCUCACCCAGCCUCCCUCUGUGAACCUACAGCCGGGUCAGCAUCUGACCAUCACCUGUCAGGUCUCCUAUUCUGUUAGUAGCUACUACACAGCCUGGAUCAGACAGCCUGCUGCAGGAACACUGGAGUGGAUCGGGCAUAUAUAUACUUCAAGCUCCGACUACAAAGAGUCACUGAAAAGCAAAUUCCGCAUGAAUGUAGAUUCCUCCAACAACAGAGUGACUCUGACUGGAGAGAACAUGCAGCCUGGAGACUCGGCCGUCUAUUACUGUGCCAGAGACCCACAACAACACAAAACACCAGCAGACCUGAACAAAAACCCACAAACCACCAGAGGUGGAGUCACAGACCAGCAGCCACUGUCAAACAUCUCCACUAUCCACUUCCUCUCAAUCCCUGAAGUCACUGCAGCACCUUCUGCCCUUCUCUCUUCGUCUCUCAACAUCCUCAGAGGAAACAAUGGGUCAGUGGAGCGCUUUCUUUCAUGA